AGCAGCCGCGGUAAUUCCAGCUCCAAUAGCGUAUAUUAAAGUUGUUGCAGUUAAAAAGCUCGUAGUUGAAUUUCGGGGUUAGUAGGUCGGUCGUGCCACAGGUAUGUACUGGUCUCACUGAUUCCUCCUUCCUGAUGAACCGUAAUGCCAUUAAUUUGGUGUUGCGGGGAAACUGGACUGUUACUUUGAAAAAUUAGAGUGUUUAAAGCAGGCUAACGCUUGAAUACAUUAGCAUGGAAUAAUGAAAUAGGACGUUCGAUCCUAUUUUGUUGGUUUCUAGGAUUGACGUAAUGAUUAAUAGGGAUAGUUGGGGGCAUUAGUAUUCAAUUGUCAGAGGUGAAAUUCUUGGAUUUAUUGAAGACUAACUACUGCGAAAGCAUUUGCCAAGGAUGUUUUCAUUAAUCAAGAACGAAAGUUAGGGGAUCGAAGACGAUCAGAUACCGUCGUAGUCUUAACCAUAAACUAUGCCGACUAGGGAUCGGAUGAUGUUAAUUUUUAAUGACUCAUUCGGCGCCUUACG
This 520-nucleotide ribosomal RNA is filed under the name uncultured Glomus. RNAcentral describes it as "SSU rRNA". It matches the Rfam family "Eukaryotic small subunit ribosomal RNA", at positions 569 to 1092 of the family's 1831-position model. Lineage: Eukaryota; Fungi; Glomeromycota; Glomeromycetes; Glomerales; Glomeraceae. The record is from RNAcentral.